GCUCGGCCUACCAGCCCGGGGGCUCCGAGGCUCGCGCCGGAGGCGGGGCAUCGCCGCGCCGGCCGCCAACGGCCACUGCAACGGUCCCUACCGGGGAGGGCCGGCUUUUGCCGGCUUCCGGAGAAGGGAGGAAAGAGAGAGGUUUACCUAACACUGUAAAGAGAACGUUCAAUGAAAUACAAAGAAAAAGAUGAUUUUUUUGCUCCAAGAGAAUUAUUCCAGCCUUGGGGUGGAGUGGGUGUGGACAGUGAGCAGAAAAACAAGAAACCAAGUUCUGGGAGGAAAUAAAAUGAAUAUAAUCAGUGGAAAAUUCAGCAACGCAAUAUUGUGUGACAACAGUAAAUGACCAAUUUAUAAUUUAAAUUCUAUGAAAAAGAGAUUUAGAAGAGAGUUCUACCAAACCCACUGUUCCCUAGGGAAUAAAAUGAGUAACGCUGACUGGCAACAGUGCAUCCUGAGGGAGCCUGGAGAAACAACAGCAGCCUCCGACCUCAAGAUAUCCUGUGCUGUGACAGUGUCUUAAGUAGGGCAUGUUGAUAGAUGGAAAAGGACGGCAAACUCGAGGUGCUGAUUCAGGAAGAAGCAGAUUCCAAGAUGGAAGAGAAAAUAUCGAGAGAAAUAUGCCGAGAGAAGAAUCCAGGCAGAAUGGAAUCCAGGCAGAAUGGUGAAUGGAAGGUUCGGGUGACCAAGAGAAAGGAAGGGUGACUCAGCAAGUCUGUAGUUUCAGCUCUUGUAUAGUACGUUAUACUUGAAAAGCUGAAGCCUUUUCUCGGGGAAGAGUCAGAACGGCCUGGAGGGCUUGCUAAAGCGCUGCUGGCUGGGCCCCGCCCGCUGAAUGACUAAUGGAGACUCUGAGGGCCGGCUGGUAAUUUGAGUUUCUAACAAGCCCUGUUUCGAUGCUGGUACAGCCGAUCUAGGGAAAAUAUUGGAACAAGGAAAAAACUAAGAAGAAAUUUUAAAAAGUAAUCAAAGGCGGCCAAGUGAGGUGGCUCACGCCUGUGAUC
RNAcentral lists this long non-coding RNA (1004 nucleotides) under Homo sapiens (human). RNAcentral describes it as "HSALNT0362250". The record is from RNAcentral. Lineage: Eukaryota; Metazoa; Chordata; Mammalia; Primates; Hominidae.